This is a long non-coding RNA of Etheostoma spectabile (orangethroat darter), 71 nucleotides long. RefSeq lists it as uncharacterized. The transcript is spliced from 4 exons. The record is from RefSeq and is a predicted model, not a curated record. NCBI's taxonomy places the organism in Eukaryota, Metazoa, Chordata, Actinopteri, Perciformes, Percidae.
ACACACACACAUGGGUUGGUCUGAAUGAAAUAAACCCAGAAUUUGAACAAUGAUCUUGCUUCGUGCUUACU